This 239-nucleotide ribosomal RNA is filed under the name Brevundimonas diminuta. RNAcentral describes it as "partial 16S ribosomal RNA". It matches the Rfam family "Bacterial small subunit ribosomal RNA", at positions 601 to 840 of the family's 1533-position model. The record is from RNAcentral. Lineage: Bacteria; Pseudomonadati; Pseudomonadota; Alphaproteobacteria; Caulobacterales; Caulobacteraceae.
CCCAGGGCUCAACCCUGGAACUGCCUUUGAUACUGGCGAUCUUGAGUAUGAGAGAGGUAUGUGGAACUCCGAGUGUAGAGGUGAAAUUCGUAGAUAUUCGGAAGAACACCAGUGGCGAAGGCGACAUACUGGCUCAUUACUGACGCUGAGGCGCGAAAGCGUGGGGAGCAAACAGGAUUAGAUACCCUGGUAGUCCACGCCGUAAACGAUGAUUGCUAGUUGUCGGGCUGCAUGCAGUU